This 73-nucleotide transfer RNA is filed under the name Halichoeres melanurus (tail-spot wrasse). RNAcentral describes it as "tRNA-Asp". It matches the Rfam family "tRNA". Rfam says of the family: Transfer RNA (tRNA) molecules are approximately 80 nucleotides in length. Their secondary structure includes four short double-helical elements and three loops (D, anti-codon, and T loops). Lineage: Eukaryota; Metazoa; Chordata; Actinopteri; Labriformes; Labridae. The record is from RNAcentral.
GAGAUAUUAGUAAAAUAGUUUAUUACACCGCUUUGUCAAGGCCGAAUUGUGGGUUAAACCCCCACAUAUCUUA